This 147-nucleotide unclassified non-coding RNA is filed under the name soil metagenome. Its description in RNAcentral is "partial internal transcribed spacer 1". The record is from RNAcentral.
CCGAGUUACAACUCCCAAACCCCUGUGAACAUACCUUUAUGUUGCCUCGGCGGAUCAGCCCGCGCCCCGUAAAACGGGACGGCCCGCCGCAGGAAACCCUAAACUCUGUUUUUAGUGGAACUUCUGAGUAUAAAAAACAAAUAAAUC